AAAUUACAAUUAAAGAUUAGCAAAUAUAAUCAAACAUAGAUCAAAUUCAAUCAAAAUUUCAAAAGAAUUAUAUAAGAAACAGAAAGUAUUCUUAGAGAUCCAUUAAAGAAUCAUAAAGAAUUGAUAAAGAAAUUUAAAAAUAUAUUAAAAUAGAAAUCUUAAUAAAAUAUUAAAAUAGAAAUCUUAAUUAAAUCCUAGUCAAAACCUAAUCAAAUUCUAGUCAAAUCCUUGUCAAAUCCUAAUUAAUUCCUAAAUAAAUCUUAAUCAAAUCCUAGCCAAACCCUAAACAAACUCUAAUCAAUCUUUAAAAAAUCCUAAACAAAUCUUAAUCAAAAUCCUAAUCAAAUUCUAAAUAAAUCCUAGUCAAAUCUUAAUAAAUUCUAACGAAAUCUUAAAUAAAUCUUAGUCAAAUUCUAAACAAAUCCUAAACAAAUUCUAACCAAAUCCUAAAUAAAUCCUAACCAAAUCAUAAAAUAAAUCCUAAUCAAAUCUUAAACAAAUCCUAAAAAAUCCUAAAAAAUCCUAAAAAAAUCCUAAUCAAAUUCUAAUCAAAUUCUAAUCAAAUCCUAGUCAAACCUUAAUCAAAUCCUAAAUAAAACCUAAUAAAAU
This 609-nucleotide long non-coding RNA is filed under the name Physcomitrium patens. RNAcentral's name for it is "long non-coding RNA (PPAT_LNC013265)". The record is from RNAcentral. Lineage: Eukaryota; Viridiplantae; Streptophyta; Bryopsida; Funariales; Funariaceae.